Zalophus californianus (California sea lion) is the source of this 3840-nucleotide long non-coding RNA. RefSeq lists it as uncharacterized. The transcript has 3 exons. NCBI's taxonomy places the organism in Eukaryota, Metazoa, Chordata, Mammalia, Carnivora, Otariidae. The record is from RefSeq and is a predicted model, not a curated record.
CUUCCCCGCGUCGCGGCAGCGGGAGCAACAAGCGGCUGCUCGAGCUGAGGGUGUAACCAUUUGGAGGGCUGCCGCCAUCUCGGGCGCCACCAGGCGCUCUGUUUGGGGGGUGAGGGCGAUAAGGAAGGCCUUCCCCUAGUCGGUCUACAGCAGCACACUGGAGACUGACUUAGCGCCCCUGCGACAGAACUUACACUUACUUCCCUGCAGGAGGAGAUGCGCAAGAGUUCAUGUGUGAGUUAAUUUUACUUCGAGCUGUCUUAAUCGUAUGUCUUAAUCGUGGCCGGUCCAGGAGAGAUGCUUCGUGUACUGUGACACGUUCAGCCGGAUUCAGAUUUGGCCUCUUUAACUUAGUAGCUGGGCAUGCUCCGUCAAGUUGCACGACCUAAGGCCUCAGUUUUCAGUGCUGUGAAACGGGGAUAAAUGAUAGAAUGCAAGACUACAACUACAGCACCUGUCACCUUCAAGAACAUUGACCGCUCCGGGCAACGAGGGCGUUAUAGACAAAAUCUGUAGGGCAGCUGUCGUUCUUUGCCCACCUAGGGACGCGAGUUACAAACCCCAGUAGUCGUUCUUGAUGUCUUCUUUCCCCCAACAUACGUCCAAUGGCCUGUUGAUGCGACUCCCAAAUACGUGUGGACCUGGCCCCUUCUCCGUCCCCACUGCACCGCCGGCGUUCAGUUAUGCGGCUGUCUCCAACCAUGCCCACCGAUGUGCUCCCCCAGGCUAGCAGCCACACUACCGUCCGAUUCAGUAGAAGAUUAACUUCAAAUAAAGCACGAUUCCAACCCUAACUCAGCCUCUCAUAAACCUCUCUGUAGCCUUCAGAAUAAAGUCCAUAUUUUUUUAGUAUUUAUUUAUUUAUUUAUUUUGAGAGAGAGAGCUAGAGCAAACGGGCGGGGGUGCAGGAAGGGGGCGGGCAGAGAGAGAGAACCGUAAGCAGGCUCCACGCCCAGCGCGGGGCCUGACACAGGGCUCUGUCUCACAACCCUGAGAUCAUGACCUGAGCCGAAAUCAGGAGUCGCUUCACUGACUGAGCCACCCAGGUGCCCCAUGAAGUCCAUGUUAUUUAACAAAAUAUAUAAAAAAUCCAUUAUGAUCUGGCACCAAGCUACUUUUCCAGCCUCAUCUCCUGCAACUGGGCCACGGGAGCCCCACACUCCUCCCUUUUGUCAUGCCCUCCCUUUCUGUAAAACAACAGAGCUCUCCUCUUGUCGGUUGUUUCAUCCUUCGCAUGGUACCCAGCACAAACAGACGCUCAAAUACUUGUGAAUUAAUAGUUACCUGCCCCUUUUGUCUCAUGAAAUAUUUUAGACUUUAUCAGAGUAUUUUAUUUUUUUAUAUACUGUAACCGAUACUUACUGUACAGAAUGCAGAAAAUGCAGCAAAGUUGGAAGAGGAAAAUAAGCCACCUGGCAUGUCACCAGUCAGGAAUCGGGCUGCUGCUAUUUUUAUGUAUUUCUUCCUUUAAUUUUCCUAAAGGGCCAUUUCAGGUCCUCAUCGAUGCGGUCUCUCUGUAUCAUGUAGUAAUGCCCAUUGUGCUUCCCAUUUUCCAUGAUGUGUGUGUGACUUCCCUCUGUCCUGUUCUAUUUCUUGGCUGGCUUCUCUUCUGCUGCCGGCCCCCUAAAUUAUGAUGUUUCCAGACAUUCCAUCUUAAACCCUUCCAUUUUCUCAUUCCACGUGCUUUCUUUUUGAGUGCUCUCACUCAUGCCCAGAGCUUCAGCUAGCUCUAUUUGGUGUUAGAUCCAAAGUCUGUAGCUUGUUCCUCGGGUUUGACAAAUUAUGCACGUCUAAAACGAAACUCAUCACAUCUUUCCCAACAACCUUGUAUAUUUAUCACCUCACUGACCCACCAGCAAACUGGCAGACAUCCCUGACUCCUGCCUUUCCUGAGCCCCCUGGAGCUCCCAGAGGCAUGGGUACUGUUUCCAAUUUUUCAUAAACACAUAAAGCAUAGAUGAAUUUCACUCUAUUCUUGUGACCUUGAUGACGUAUCGCUACAGACCAAAAGUAUAAAUACGCCCCCAAAAAUCCACAUGGUAUUGAUAUACACAGGCAAGAAAUAUUUCUUGGCCCUUUGAUGAGAUACGUACAGUCAUAAAUCUCUGUGGAAAAUGGAUCAAUAUAGCAAAAUAUAACCUCUUUGAAAGUCUCUGAAGAAAGUAACCUUUGCCAUCCCAAAGAAAUCUGACCAGACCCCUUGGUCUAAUACAAAAACCACUGUGCGAGCAGUCUUAUGUAAUGAAACCAGAGUGAUCUCCUGAGUGAGGCCUGUUGUUGUUUCACCUGGGGAAUAGCACCUUCUAAAAGAAAAUCUACCUGCAUGCGUUAGGACUAAUUUCUUUUCAGGGAAGUUGAGUAAGAGCAGUGAUUAGUUGGACAUGUAGAGAUUGAUGUCUCCAUGAAGGAUUUCAACUAAGGAAGAAAAUUAAAGAUACAUUCAAGGUUAACCCCUUUCAAAUGGGUUUUUCAUUUAUUUUCCUAACAAGAAGAGUUUGAUAAAAUAAUCAAUCAAAUAGCCGACAUUUACACAGUGCCCACAGAUUUUUCUCAGCACUGGGAAUACAGCACUGAACCAAAACCACUGGAAAUCUCUGCAUCCCGAGAAGGUUUCUUCCAGUCUAGUAAAUUGUCAUGUUAAUUUCCAUUACAUCAUCUCCCAGUAUCCCAGCAUCCCCUCCAUCUAUAAUCAUAGCCUUUAGAAAUGUACGUUAAAGUUAAGAGUGUGCAAAAAGAUGGCUCGCUCACUAUAAUGUUAAGUAUUUAUAGUUGUGAUUAAAUCAGUAGCCCCUCAUCCAUCUGUCAAUGGAUGUCCCAAUCUUCUCCACCUUAUCAAUGAUACCACUCUGUUCUGGCCACAGAGGCUCCCCUCCAUGGUGCUAUAAUUCAGGGGAUUAUAAAAUACAGAAAAUGAGUAUUCCACACUUGCAAGAGCAGUUGGGCCAAUAGAGAGGCAUAGUCCAUAGUCCUGAACUCUAAAGAAUAUUACUGUGCAGUCCCCGUUGAAUAAAUAGACAGUCAAGUUAGAUUUUAGUUGGGACAGUAGAACUGUAAUGACAUUGAAAAGGCCCUCAAUCAAAGUUCAAGGAUCAGAGGCAUCAAGUUGGAGAAGAUCUUGACUAUUACCUCAUGUAAUGGUUUCUCCCACUUUACUAGAAAAUGAAAUGAGGUCUAUUUUGUUGCAAUUAUUCUCUGAAAUCAUGAAUUUAAAUUGAGCGAUAUAUUGCCCAGUCCUUAGUAAUAAAUAUUAAUUUUGUCCUGUUCUGAUGAAGUAAGGGAAAAAAUAUUCUUUAAAAUUGCCAGGAUAGAGACAACUGGCUGGCUCAGUCAGUGGAGGGUGUGACUUACAAUCUCAGGGUUGGAAGUUCAAAGCCCCAUGUGGGGUGUGGAGAUUACUUAAAAAUAAAAUCUUUAAAAGUAAAUAAACGAAAGAAAAAACUGCCAGGGUGUGUGUGUGUGUGUGUAUGUGUGUAUAUGUGUGUGUGUGUGUGUCAGAAAGAGAGAGAGAGAGAAGGGGGGAAAGAGAGAUUAUCUUGUCUAAAAGGAAGGUUUACAAUUUUUACAACUUCAUACAUUGUUUUGCUAAAAUUUCUCUGUUCCAUCCCCAAGUAGCUCUGAAAUAUUCAUCACUUCGCCAAGGUGAUAAAGCAUAAAGUAGUACUUUUAUUUUUAAAGUCAGAAGGAAAAGGUGUCAAAAAAAAGGAAAAGGCAUCCAUAGUUCUGUCUUGAGGUUCUUUAGAAAGAAUUACUAUAAUAGUUUCAAGUAUUAAAAAUAUUUUAAACAAGAAAUAAACUUCAGGGGCACCUGGGUGGCUCAGUGAGUUAAGCAUCUGCCUUCAG